Molecule: ribosomal RNA, 492 nt
Filed under: uncultured bacterium
Lineage: Bacteria
Description: partial 16S ribosomal RNA
Rfam family: Bacterial small subunit ribosomal RNA
Source: RNAcentral
ACGCACGCUGGCGGCGUGCCUAACACAUGCAAGUUGAGCGACGAACCAGGGCUUGCCCUGGGGCAAAGCAGCGAACGGGUGAGUAACACGUGGGUAACCUACCCCGAUAACCGGGACAACCCGAGGAAACUCGGGCUAAUACCGGAUGUGCUCACUGGACUUCGGUUCAGUGCGUAAAGGAAGCUUCGGCCUCCGUAUCGGAAGGGGCCCGCGGCCCAUUAGUUUGUUGGUGAGGUAACGGCUCACCAAGACCGCGAUGGGUAGCUGGUCUGAGAGGACGAUCAGCCACACUGGGACUGAGACACGGCCCAGACUCCUACGGGAGGCAGCAGUGGGGAAUCUUGCGCAAUGCGCGAAAGCGUGACGCAGCAACGCCGCGUGGGGGAAGAAGGCCUUCGGGUUGUAAACCCCUUUCAGGAGGGACGAAGGUUCGGCGGUGAAUAGCCGUCCGGACUGACGGUACCUCCACAAGAAGCCCCGGCUAACUACGUG